GACGAACGCUGGCGGCGUGCUUAACACAUGCAAGUCGAACGGAAAGGCCCUGCUUUUGUGGGGUGCUCGAGUGGCGAACGGGUGAGUAACACGUGAGUAACCUGCCCUUGACUUUGGGAUAACUUCAGGAAACUGGGGCGAAUACCGGAUAGGAGCUCCUGCUGCAUGGUGGGGGUUGGAAAGUUUCGGCGGUUGGGGAUGGACUGGCGGCUUAUCAGCUUGUUGGUGGGGUAGUGGCUUACCAAGGCUUUGACGGGUAGCCGGCCUGAGAGGGUGACCGGCCACCAUGGGACUGCGAUACGGACCAGACUCGUACGGGAGGCAGCAGUGGGGAAUAUUGCACAAUGGGCGGAAGCCUGAUGCAGCAACGCCGCGUGCGGGAUGACGGCCUUCGGGUUGUAAACCGCUUUCGCCUGUGACGAAGCGUGAGUGACGGUAAUGGGUAAAGAAGCACCGGCUAACUACGUG
Molecule: ribosomal RNA, 468 nt
Filed under: uncultured bacterium
Lineage: Bacteria
Description: partial 16S ribosomal RNA
Rfam family: Bacterial small subunit ribosomal RNA
Source: RNAcentral